UAGGAAUAUACCUUAAAGUGGGGGACAACCUGGGGAAACUCAGGCUAAUACCGCAUAAUUUCUGAGGAAAGAAGCUGGGGACCUUCGGGCCUGGCGCUUUAAGAUUAGCCUGCGUACGAUUAGCUAGUUGGUAGGGUAAAGGCCUACCAAGGCGACGAUCGUUAGCUGGUCUGAGAGGAUGAUCAGCCACACUGGGACUGAGACACGGCCCAGACUCCUACGGGAGGCAG
RNAcentral lists this ribosomal RNA (230 nucleotides) under uncultured bacterium. Its description in RNAcentral is "partial 16S ribosomal RNA". It matches the Rfam family "Bacterial small subunit ribosomal RNA", at positions 118 to 351 of the family's 1533-position model. The record is from RNAcentral.